Molecule: long non-coding RNA, 3170 nt
Organism: Cyprinus carpio carpio
Lineage: Eukaryota; Metazoa; Chordata; Actinopteri; Cypriniformes; Cyprinidae
Source: Ensembl
CAGGUUUUAAUCACACAGGUUACAAGGUUUUAAUCACACUGGUUUGAUUGUAGACCUCAGGGUCCAACCUCUCUGGUUUGAUGAUAAGUUUCAAAAGGUUAACCAAACACUCUUCACUCUUGUGUGCUGGCGGUUCAGGGUUUGAGCGGUAUAGAGAAAGGACUUGACAUCUUUUGACCGAGGCAACAGGCUUAACAGUGAAGGAAUAGAGGAUACAAAGAUAUUUAUUCCUUUACUCCACAGUUAAUUUUCAAAUCUCUAACAUCCUAUGGCUGUCUAUUUUUUUCUGGAGCCUUCUCUUUUCACUUUUUUUUUUUGCUUUCAUUCUUUUCAAGACGAAACGGGAGCUGGGUGCUGAUAGUGAUAGAUGGCUCAGCGCUCUAACACUUUAUCCAAUUCAGUGCAGAUUUCAUCCAAUAAAGAAUCACUUGUGCACUCUCAAACUAAAUGGAAGUCAGGCAGCGGAGAGAAAGGGGCUGCGGUUUGUUUCUGAGCUGCGAAAAUCAAAUUUUCUUAAAGCUGCCGCGGCAGUGGCUUGCGGAAAAAGCAGCAACAGCCAUGACUGGCCGGGGCCACAGCCGUCUGCACACACAAUUUAAUCCAUCACAGAGCUCCUGACACCACAUCAAUCAAGCUUUCAUCAGCAUGGACCCCAAAAAACUAUAUUUCCAUUCACCCACUACUAACUGGGGCAAAGCCAAGCCCCUGCUGGCCAAUAGCAGAGACCGGGAGGCCCCCAACCAGACAGGACUGGGUAGCACCACCUACGGCGCUCGCGCACAGACACACUCUCAGCAGGCAGGUCGGUCGGGCUUCGGAAAUUCCUCAUCGCAGAGACAUUUCAACAGCACAGAGCUGCCCCUCAAAGUGCCUGAGGGACCCUGAUAACCCUUUGAUAGAGAGAAGGCUGGAUGCUGUUGUCUAUAGCUGGCACCUUCCCCAUAGCAGAUAUGAGGAUGUGUAUUCAUUCAAGCCAGCGGGGGCCCGAGCUAACAUGUUAACCCAGACCGGCAACAGGAAGAGAAGCUUUGGGAGGAGAGGAGAAAGGACAAAUACAGGAGAGAGAGACAGGAACUACAGUGGCCCAUCAGAAGAGCGAGAGAGAGUGAAGGGAUGCUUCUGGGAGACAGAAUGAGCAAUUGGACCCAGGAAGCUAUUGUUUGUUUGCGUUUGUGUGUGUAUGGAGGACCGUAAUCACUGCAGCACUUUCCUACUGUGUAUCCGAGUGUGUGUGUGUGUGUGUGUGUGUGUGUGUGUGUGUGUGUGUGUGUGUGUGUGUGUGUGUGUGUGUGUGUGUGUGUGUGUGUGUGUGUGUGUGUAUGGAUAUAAAGGCAUUGGGGGGUGGCAUCCACUUUGAGGAAUCAAGAAAAUAGGGUCAUGGAGAUUAAAAGAGGAAAAAAAGACAAGACAGAAAACAUGACCACUAUUUUUAAAAAGGCAAAUCUGGCAGCUCUAAAGAUCUGAAGGGAGAACGUGAAUAAAGCAACCUGGCAGCCAGUGCUGUAUUAAGCUCUCCGAGGGUUUACAUAAACACAUAAUAAAAAGGAAGCAUCUCCGCAGAGAAUAGCACUCUUCAUUUAGCAUGUGUGUGAAGGAGAAAUGCUGUCAAUGUUCCCUAUUUCAAUACCACCUUUAAAACCGCAAGACUGAUAUGAUUUCUCAAUAUGGUGGUUGACCGACAGUUUCAACCUGGAUACAUCCGAUCAACAUAUCGGAUAAGAGGAUACGUGUGAAAAAUGCCAUUUCCUGCAAGCAAAAGGAGUGUUUUGUUUUUUAGACUUGGGUUUUGGAGCAGAUCCAUCCAUUUAUUUCUCCAAACCGCUUGUCCAGUUGUAGGGUCUUGUGGAUUCUAGAGCCCAUACCAACAUAUCAGACAGUAAUAAGUGCAGUCCAUCACAGGCUUUGAGCAGAUUGUGCAAUAUAAGAGGGGAAAAUUAAGUAUUGCUUCUGUACACCAUUUUGAGAUUAUACAGACAAAAGAAUAUUACAGAAGGUCGGCACUGUAAAGGUAAUUUAAAUUAUCUCAAUUUAAAUUAACUCGACUGAAAAAUCUGAAAUAAUAUGACUUCACCAAGAAAGUCAUUUUAAGAGGACAGAAAUGUCGUCUUAAGGAAACAAGUGCCCCGUUUAGUUUAUUAUUAUUAUUAUUAUUAUUAUUAUUAUUAUUAUUAUUAUUAUUAUUAUUAUUUAUUUAUUUAUUUAUUUAAUUUUUUUAUAUACAGUGUGGCUAAAAAAUUGUCCUCCGUUAAUGACUAAAAAAAAUACAGGAAUAAAUCAGAACAGGAGCAAAUGCAAAAGAAAUGUAAAAAAUCAUUAGCAUAUCUCAUAUAUGUUUUGUUGUUGUGUAAGAGGGACUAAUGCACAUCAUAAGGCACAUGGUGCAUUUUUUAUUUAUUUAUUUAUUUGCCUGUGUAUUUUCAAAGGGAUAUAGAAGAGCGAAUGAAGCUCACGGAGGAAGGGAAAGGGAAAGAAAUAGAGAGAGAGAGAGAGGUAAAAAAAAAAAAUAGAGCAAGUGAGAGUGCCCUCUUCUGAUCAUCGCCUGAAUUAGAGAGAGCUUCCUGUCUCCAUCUUGUCACAGAAAUAUCUAGUGCUGUAUAAAUUAAAAAUCACAAAUGUAUUAUAUUCUAUUAUUUAGUGCAUGUUUGUGCAUCUAAGUGUUGAUCUGCUUUAAAAAAAUUUAACAUGAAAUGAAAAAAAAUGAAGAAAAAAAUAUUCAAUGGCAUAAGCAGUGUGUUACUGCUCAGUAAUCUUAUUUACUGAUCAAAUUGUUUAGCACUAGUUGAUGUACAGUAAUACUGUCACGUAUCGCCUUGCCAAAAUAUAAAAACCCCAUCCAGCGGUAUAAAUUAGUACGGUCAGCGUAUGUCCCCUUCAGAUGGAGCAGGAAUGAGGUGAUAAAGGUUAUUUAGUGGGGACCAAAUGGGGGCUGAUGGCUCCUGUUUCUCACACACUCACUGCAAGAGUGUGAUACACGCCUGGCUGGAUUCCGGCCAGUCAUCUGUGCCGAAAAACCAUAGACAGACAGUCCGACAUCGCCGCUCGGGAACCAAAGCAUCUGCAACUGAAAUCAUUGCCGAAAAGCCAGAAAACAUUGUCGACACAUCGCCUUCUGCACCAAAGGGUCUGUCGCAGCAAUGUAUCGCCCCUCUCGGCUGAGCUUUAUAACCCGU